This is a non-coding RNA of Erythranthe guttata (spotted monkey flower), 176 nucleotides long. The record is from RefSeq and is a predicted model, not a curated record. NCBI's taxonomy places the organism in Eukaryota, Viridiplantae, Streptophyta, Magnoliopsida, Lamiales, Phrymaceae.
AGAUGGAGGAGAAACAUAUCGAACAAUAUUCUUGUCAGCGGAAACGAACUGUUUCGUUAGUGGAGUCAUUCAUAGUGUUGGAGCGGUGGAAAAGAUUUGAGCUCAACAGAAAUUGCAGCAAAUGCGAGCACCGAAGCGAAAGCAGCUACUGGCUACAAUAUUUGACUGCAUUGCUU